GUUUCUGUUCAAGAAUGUGCUGUGGGAUCUGUCUGCACCAAGGCUUGUGGUGGCUGCAGCAUGACCUGUUACUUUUGUAGCAAAACAAUCACAUAAGCAUUUCAAAACUGAAAAGAUGAGAUUUCAACAGAACUUCAUGCUUAUGCCAGGAUGCUUCAGAUUAUGUUGUGAACCAGCCUCCCCUACCCACUUCAGGGGUACUUGGCCAAUGAGAGACCAUCCAAGGAUUUUGAAGAGGACAAUGAGAGAAUGAUGUGAUAUGUUCUGCUUUUUAAGAUAAAGUACAGGAGAGUACAGGAGAAGGCAACUUCAUUUGAAAUCCUGAAAGAUGGUCCUGAGUUCAGAACUGAGUAAGAGACUCAGAUGUCUCCUAUCAACUACAAUACAUGCUCCAGGCCACCAUCACCGCAAUUCCAGGGAGGUAUACCUCUCACCACCUCCAAAACCUUGAUCGAAAUGCAAGCAUUCUACACAUGCUCCACAUUUAGAAGUAGCAAUCAGAAGCUGAGGAGAGCAUGCCUUGCUCAGAGGCUAGAAGAUCUGCCACAGCAACCAUCUGUUUAAAGUCCCUGGAUGCAAGUAAAAGGGGAAAAAAAUCCAAAGACUUUAUAUGUGCUGGUUGAUUGCAUAAAGGAUCAUAAAGUAGGAAUAAGAAUCCCAGUUCUAGGCUAGAACAAUCCUUGAAGGUGAUAAACAGAAAAUACAGCAAAACUUUUAUCAUGGGUGUUUGUGUGUAUUUGGGUGGUGGUAGUGGGAAUAGGCAGGUUAGGUUGAUUAACCAAAAAUGUAUUCAUCUUUAGUAUGCCAUUAUCAGUGAUAUGAAUUGCUCUGGAAUAAGUGGAUUGGACUUACUCGUGCAAUCACAUUUAGAGCCAGUGGUAGAAAUGCAAAUCUGAAAUGAGAACAGCAGCCCAUGCUAUCCAUUUAGCUAAUUAUGUAUUGAGUAGCUCCUACAUGUCAGACAAGCCUGCUCAUAACAUAAUAUGUGGGGCCCAGGGCAAAUGCACAAAGGGACUCAGUUCCACCUACCAUAUGUCUGAAGAUUUGCAAGUUAUACAUUAACAGCAUUUAAUAAAAUGUGUUCUGUUCUCCUACCUUGACAAAUAAAGCAUAUCUUCAUAAUGAUCUGGAAGCCAG
Molecule: long non-coding RNA, 1137 nt
Filed under: Callithrix jacchus (white-tufted-ear marmoset)
Lineage: Eukaryota; Metazoa; Chordata; Mammalia; Primates; Cebidae
Description: lncRNA (ENSCJAG00000085140.1)
Source: RNAcentral